RNAcentral lists this unclassified non-coding RNA (332 nucleotides) under soil metagenome. Its description in RNAcentral is "partial contains 5.8S ribosomal RNA, internal transcribed spacer 2, and large subunit ribosomal RNA". The stretch from base 1 to 120 matches the Rfam family "5.8S ribosomal RNA", at positions 35 to 154 of the family's 154-position model. The record is from RNAcentral.
GAUGAAGAACGCAGUGAAAUGCGAUAAGUAGUGUGAAUUGCAGAAUUCAGUGAAUCAUCGAAUCUUUGAACGCACAUUGCGCCCGCUAGUAUUCUGGCGGGCAUGCCUGUUCGAGCGUCAUUUCAACCAUCAAGCCCUAGGCUUGCGUUGGAGCCCUGCGGCUGCCGCAGGCUCCCAAAUCCAGUGGCGGGCUCGUCGUCGUACCGAGUGCAGUAAACAUCCUCGCUCAGGGAACGUGACGGGUUCUUGCCGUGAAACCCCCCACAUAUCAAGGUUGACCUCGGAUCAGGUAGGAAUACCCGCUGAACUUAAGCAUAUCAAUAAGCGGAGGA